CCUACGGGAGGCAGCAGUGGGGAAUAUUGGACAAUGGGGGGAACCCUGAUCCAGCGACGCCGCGUGAGUGAAGAAGUAUUUCGGUAUGUAAAGCUCUAUCAGCAGGGAAGAAAGACAUGACGGUACCUGACUACGAAGCCCCGGCUAACUACGUGCCAGCAGCCGCGGUAAUACGUAGGGGGCAAGCGUUAUCCGGAUUUACUGGGUGUAAAGGGAGCGUAGACGGCGAUGCAAGUCUGAAGUGAAAGGCGGGGGCCCAACCCCUGGACUGCUUUGGAAACUGUAUGGCUGGAGUGCAGGAGAGGUAAGUGGAAUUCCUAGUGUAGCGGUGAAAUGCGUAGAUAUUAGGAGGAACACCAGUGGCGAAGGCGGCUUACUGGACUGUAACUGACGUUGAGGCUCGAAAGCGUGGGGAGCAAACAGGAUUAGAUACCCGUGUAGUC
This 443-nucleotide ribosomal RNA is filed under the name uncultured bacterium. RNAcentral describes it as "partial 16S ribosomal RNA". It matches the Rfam family "Bacterial small subunit ribosomal RNA", at positions 338 to 795 of the family's 1533-position model. The record is from RNAcentral.